GCGCUGUCACUUCCGGCGGCCGCGGCGUGCACUGUCGGUCGGCGGCUAAGGAGGGGAGGCACCUGCAUCUGGGGCGCGGCGAAUCCUCGCGUGCGCCAGGCCGCCUGGGGUAGUCGCCGAGACUGCGCCGGCCAGCGGGGCCGAAACCUAAUCAGGAGCUGAGCUUUGAUGGCGGCUUCUGGAGGGACAAAGAAGGCGCAGAGCGGUGGGAGGAGGCUGCGAGAACCUAGCUCCCGCCCCAGCCGACGUGCGAGACAAAGGCCCCGGCGCGGGGCUCUUCGGAAGGCCGGGAGGUUCCUGUGACAAUGCGAGUCUGCGCCCCACGCUCCCGCACCGUGAUGCCGAGGCCAAAUGGCUAGAGUGGGCCCAGGCAUCAGCAUUUCUGUUUGGCAGCCGGGCAGUUGUGGUGCACGUUUUGAGGAACUACUAAAGCCUGCCUGUGAUGAAAAAGGCAAAAGCUGACUUCACCAAAAUUACUCCCAGGGAGACUUCUGCAUUUGGCUGGAAGGACAUUUGAGUAAACCGCUGAGGCUGGUGGUUGAAACAUAAUCCUCUAAGGGAGAUCGGUUCCGAUACCCUGAGUUAGGGACGCUUGCCUGGGCAGAGCUAAGGGGAGAAUGAUCAAAAGCCAAGCUCUGUCCCCGUCAGCACGUCACCCUCCCUCACUGUAAUCCCUGACUGUUUUCUCUAAAUGAAGAAUUAUUUAGAGAAUAUAAAUUAGAAGGGCCGCCACGUCAGAAUUGCCUGAGUGGGAGCAGUCUUUCCAGCCUCGAAAAAUGUUUAAACAAUAUGCAGAUGACCUAGCACAAAUAAAGAAUGCUAGCAACCGCUGUUAUGUGUGAGCGGUGGAAUUGGGAGGGCUCUUCCCCCAAUCUUCAUCAAACAGAGUAAGGUUUAGAAUAAAAAUAAUGAAAUACAGUCUUUCAAAAAGAGCAGCGCUUGACUAAUGUUACUGAUGUCACUCAUGUUACUCAAGGGAGGAAAGAACUCAAACUCUACAUAAUAAUACCCACUGAUUUCAAGGGCUGGCACGGAGAAUUAAGCAGACCGCCAUUCUUUAUAUUUGUUUUUUUGUUGUUGUUUGCUUAUGAUUUUUUUCUUUCUUUUUUUUUUUUUUUUUUUGAGAAGGGGUCUCGCACUGUCACCCAGGCAGGAAUGCAGUGGCGCGAUAAUGGCUCACUGCAAUCUCACUAUAUUGACCAGUAUGAUUUUCAACUCCUGUCUUUAAGCGAUCCUCACGCUUCGGCCUCCCAAAGUGCUGGGGUUACAGACAUGUGCCACUAUGCCCUGCCUAAAUAUGUUUAUAUAUACUACCGCCAAAGAAACAAUUUGAAGACGAUCUUUCCCCAGCCCCUCUCCUUCUGAUCCAACUCCAAGAGCUCACCCUCCCUGUAAGACCUGUAGCAGAGCACGUAUUGGCCUGCUGAUACUAGGGGCAAAGACCGGGCCGAUCAGAUGUUACAUGGCAUAAGGGCGAAGGAUUCUGAAAGAAAGACUGAGACUUGCUGGAGGAAGUACUAGUAGUGCCAAGGGCAGGAACUCAACUGUUAGGCAGAAGGGAGGAAUGUACUGUUGAUAUGGACAGACUCCAAGAAGGGGAGGGACUGCUGGGACUACUAGAACGAGAAUGCCUCUGCCCCUAUGGCUCAGCUCUGCAACUCUCUCUGCACAUUGGCUUCAUGCUGUUAGACCAGCUUCCUCCAUAUGUCUGGAAACAAGGCCACUGACAGCUCCCAACAUUUCAUCUUCUGCCUCAUCAUCAGACAGGCGAGGUACACAGAAGAAAGGCCAUGUGAGGACACAGCGAGAAGCAAGUAUCUGCAAGUCAAGAAGAAAGGCCUCAACAGACACCAGCCCUGCCAGCACCUUGAUCUUGGACUUCUGGCCUCCAGAACUGUGAAAGAAUAAAAUUCUGUUGUUUAAGCCACC
RNAcentral lists this long non-coding RNA (1929 nucleotides) under Homo sapiens (human). Its description in RNAcentral is "HSALNT0084449". The record is from RNAcentral. Lineage: Eukaryota; Metazoa; Chordata; Mammalia; Primates; Hominidae.